AAAGUCCUGAUGUGUUCGUCUAAAUACCUUAUCGUUUUGACCGACAAGUUUUAACUACGGGAGCUUGGAGUUUCCAAAUCGAUGGCAUGCCUUUGGUCAAAGGACGCUUGAGAUUCGGAGCAGGGCACCCACCUGCCGAGAGCGGGUUCAAAACAAAGGAUCUUAAUGACGGCACAAUUGGGACUUUU
RNAcentral lists this non-coding RNA (188 nucleotides) under Siminovitchia terrae. RNAcentral describes it as "Bacillus terrae 6S RNA". It matches the Rfam family "6S / SsrS RNA". From Rfam's summary of the family: E. coli 6S RNA was the first non coding RNA to be sequenced, but its function was unknown until recently. It consists of 184 nucleotides that fold into an extended hairpin structure with a large single-stranded internal bulge. The record is from RNAcentral. Lineage: Bacteria; Bacillati; Bacillota; Bacilli; Caryophanales; Bacillaceae.